Molecule: long non-coding RNA, 525 nt
Organism: Solenopsis invicta (red fire ant)
Lineage: Eukaryota; Metazoa; Arthropoda; Insecta; Hymenoptera; Formicidae
Exons: 2
Source: RefSeq, a predicted model, not a curated record
GUAUUGGACUUUGCGUCGCGAUAUCUCCGCUCGUAGGACACGGAGAGAAAAAAUGAAAACACUUUUAUUAUGCAAUUCAUCACCAAGCUAUCGAUUGAGACUACUCAGACCUUGAUCGGUUCAGCCGUUACUGACGGUUCUCGUUAUUCUUCACGAGAGAAAUAGAGCAGGGAAGAUAUAGAGCAAGAUUUCUCAUUGCCUUGUCAGCAUUAAGAAAGAUAUGCAAUCAUCCAGACUUAUUUUUAUAUAUUAGAGAACAAGAUUCUGAUGAAAAUAUCAAUUUGUCCAAAGAAACUUUAGAGAACCACUUGGUUAUCACUUUUGAAAAUCUGGCAGAAACAAGGACACAUGGUGCUACUUUCUACUCAGGGAAGACAGGCUGACCUGGAAAUUUAAUAUAAGAGAUAAUAUUGAUAAUUGCUACCUUUAUGAAACAGACAUUUGUAGAAUAGAUACAAAAUAAUAAGACUAUAGUAAUAUGUGUAAAAAUGUAAAAAAUGGAAAUUGAAUAAUUUUAAUUCUUAA